GACGAACGCUGGCGGCGUGCUUAACACAUGCAAGUCGAGCGGUAAGGCCCUUUCGGGGUACGACGAGCGGCGAACGGGUGAGUAACACGUGGGUGACCUGCCCUCAGCUCUGGGAGUAAGCCUGGGAAACCGGGUCUAAUACCGGAUAUGACUCCAUGACGCAUGUUGUGGGGUGGAAAGCCUUGUGCGGCUGAGGAUGGGCCCGCGGCCUAUCAGCUUGUUGGUGGGGUGAGGCCUACCAAGGCGACGACGGGUAGCCGGCCUGAGAGGGCGACCGGCCGACACUGGGACUGAGACACGGCCCAGACUCCUACGGGA
This 318-nucleotide ribosomal RNA is filed under the name uncultured bacterium. RNAcentral's name for it is "bacterial SSU rRNA". It matches the Rfam family "Bacterial small subunit ribosomal RNA", at positions 28 to 346 of the family's 1533-position model. The record is from RNAcentral.